This is a non-coding RNA of Parasteatoda tepidariorum (common house spider), 120 nucleotides long. The record is from RefSeq and is a predicted model, not a curated record. Lineage: Eukaryota; Metazoa; Arthropoda; Arachnida; Araneae; Theridiidae.
AGAAAAUGAAAAAUAUGACGGAAGCUGACUUACAGAAAUUGGAAUUGCUGAAAAAUAUUUCAUUAGCUAUGAAAUUACAUCAAGAAGAAUUGCCAAAUGAGAUUAUCCAGCUAAACCUUC